AGAGCGAACGCUGGCGGCAGGCUUAACACAUGCAAGUCGAGCGGGCGUAGCAAUACGUCAGCGGCAGACGGGUGAGUAACGCGUGGGAACGUACCUUUUGGUUCGGAACAACACAGGGAAACUUGUGCUAAUACCGGAUAAGCCCUUACGGGGAAAGAUUUAUCGCCAAAAGAUCGGCCCGCGUCUGAUUAGCUAGUUGGUGAGGUAACGGCUCACCAAGGCGACGAUCAGUAGCUGGUCUGAGAGGAUGAUCAGCCACAUUGGGACUGAGACACGGCCCAAACUCCUACGGGAGGCAGCAGUGGGGAAUAUUGGACAAUGGGCGCAAGCCUGAUCCAGCCAUGCCGCGUGAGUGAUGAAGGCCCUAGGGUUGUAAAGGCUCUUUUGUGCGGGAAGAUAAUGACGGUACCGCAAGAAUAAGCCCGGCUAACUUCGUGCCAGCAGCCGC
RNAcentral lists this ribosomal RNA (448 nucleotides) under uncultured bacterium. RNAcentral's name for it is "SSU rRNA". It matches the Rfam family "Bacterial small subunit ribosomal RNA", at positions 26 to 518 of the family's 1533-position model. The record is from RNAcentral.